RNAcentral lists this long non-coding RNA (434 nucleotides) under Bos taurus (domestic cattle). Its description in RNAcentral is "long non-coding RNA NONBTAT015361". The record is from RNAcentral. Lineage: Eukaryota; Metazoa; Chordata; Mammalia; Artiodactyla; Bovidae.
AUAUUAAAGUCUAGUCCAAAAGGGUGCAUUCUUAAAUUAACUAUUUUACAGUAGUUAUUUCAAUAUACAUUUCUCAAGGUAUUCUCAGAGAGACUUCAGUCAUUCCAGGUCACCUACUACCUGAACAAAUCUAAGAGCCCCUGUUCCACAACAGGGAGAUGGCCCCAACUGAGAUGAAGCGCGAGCAUGAGAGCAGAUUCGUGGAAAUUAUAGCAUCAGGGAAUUAUAGCACAAGAUUCGUGGAAAUAGAGCAUCUGUCAGAGAUGGCAGAGGGCUUUUUUUUUUUUUAAGGAUCACAUUGAUUCAACACUUUCUAUUGUGCUCAGAAGUGGGUAAGUCUUACUUGUGACAGAAGAAGUUUAAUCAUAAUUCUGUUGAAAGGUGGAUUCUGUGUAUGUGACCAACAAUAGCUUAUUAUGUGAGUUUCAGGUCUG